Molecule: long non-coding RNA, 1090 nt
Organism: Cyprinus carpio carpio
Lineage: Eukaryota; Metazoa; Chordata; Actinopteri; Cypriniformes; Cyprinidae
Source: Ensembl
UGCUUAUGUGAAAAGGAAAGAGUCGGAUGACAAAAUUGAGCAAAAUUGCAGCAGUAGACUGCUGACAUUGUGGGCAAUGAGGUUUUGUACUGAGUCACAUGCCUAGACAUGGACACCAGCUGCUAUUUCCCUUUCUACUUAGUGACUUCCAGAAUCACGCAGGCUAGACAAAAACAUGUACCAGAGACACUGCAUCUUUUCCACACAUGAAAAAGAACACAAGGCAUGAUGGGUAAGCAGCGUGCCCAGAAUUGCUCUGCACUCUUUCCACUUUAUUCAGCAUGGAGGAUAAAUCUUAAGCUAAGCAAAUAAAACAAAAUAAAGACUUAGAGAAGAGAUAGCACAUUUGUUACAUGUGAAUUUCGAGAAGUACAUCUAAGACAAACCCUAUAAAAUACAAAUGACCAUCCACAGAGAAAUAUUUCAGUUUUACUUUCUAAAUUUACCCUGAUUUUAUGUCAUGAGUUAUUUUGAUCAAAGGCUUUUGGGUUCUAAAACUGUUGAUUAUUAAAACACAGUACAUGACCGUAAAUUAAUGAAUGAAUUAAUUAAUUAAAAAUAAUAUUAUUUUUAAAAUGCUUUUUAUUUUAUUUAUUUUUUUAUUUAUUUUUAUUUUUAUUACAUUUAUUUUACAUUAGUAACAAUUAGUAAAAAAAUAUAUAUAUUUUCAUAUAUUCAUACUUUAAUCUAGGCCUACAUGUACUGCUCUGAUGUUUGAAAAAAGAAUGUUAGCAUGUAUAAACAGUAUAUAAUUCUGAAUAAAUACCAUAAACCAUACAUAAAAUAUGAAUUUAGUAAUAAUAUAUUUGAGAUAAAAAUAUAAUUUACUGAUCAAUAAAUAUUCAAAGUAUUAUACAUAUUAUAUAUUUCAUGUUACAUUGAUAUUUAAUCUUAUAAUGUGUAUUAAAUAUUAUGUUGAUAUAUUUAAUAUUAUGAAUAUUUAUUAUUUUCAUUAUUGCAUUCGUUAAACUAUUUAGAUAGGCCUAUUUUAAAUAUAUAUGUGUGUGUGUGUGUGUGUGUGUGUGUGUGUGUGUGUGUGUGUGUGUGUGGUUAGGUAAUUUAAAAUAUAUCUAAUGUUAAUAGAACUUGU